UUUCCGUAGGUGAACCUGCGGAAGGAUCAUUACUGAGUGAGGGCCCCUCGGGGUCCAACCUCCCACCCGUGUUUAACGAACCUUGUUGCUUCGGCGGGCCCGCCUCACGGCCGCCGGGGGGCAUCUGCCCCCGGGCCCGCGCCCGCCGAAGCCACCUGUGAACGCUGUCUGAAGUAUGCAGUCUGAGACAAUUAUUAAAUUAAUUAAAACUUUCAACAACGGAUCUCUUGGUUCCG
RNAcentral lists this unclassified non-coding RNA (236 nucleotides) under Penicillium sp. RNAcentral's name for it is "partial contains small subunit ribosomal RNA, internal transcribed spacer 1, and 5.8S ribosomal RNA". Lineage: Eukaryota; Fungi; Ascomycota; Eurotiomycetes; Eurotiales; Aspergillaceae. RNAcentral also lists the same sequence under 1 other name. The record is from RNAcentral.